CCUACGGGAGACAGCAGUGAGGAAUAUUGGUCAAUGGACGAGAGUCUGAACCAGCCAAGUAGCGUGAAGGAUGACUGCCCUAUGGGUUGUAAACUUCUUUUAUAUGGGAAUAAAAUGUUCCACGUGUGGGAUUUUGUAUGUACCAUAUGAAUAAGGAUCGGCUAACUCCGUGCCAGCAGCCGCGGUAAUACGGAGGGUCCGAGCGUUAUCCGGAUUUAUUGGGUUUAAAGGGAGCGUAGGUGGAUUGGUAAGUCAGGUGUGAAAGUUUGCGGCUCAACCGUAAAAUUGCAGUUGAAACUGGCAGUCUGGAGUGCAGUAGAGGUGGGCGGAAUUCGUGGUGUAGCGGUGAAAUGCUUAGAUAUCACGAAGAACUCCGAUUGCGAAGGCAGCUCACUGGACUGCAACUGACACUGAGGCUCGAAAGUGUGGGUAUCAAACAGGAUUAGAUACCCUUGUAGUC
RNAcentral lists this ribosomal RNA (460 nucleotides) under uncultured bacterium. Its description in RNAcentral is "partial 16S ribosomal RNA". It matches the Rfam family "Bacterial small subunit ribosomal RNA", at positions 338 to 795 of the family's 1533-position model. The record is from RNAcentral.